Saccostrea echinata is the source of this 580-nucleotide long non-coding RNA. RefSeq lists it as uncharacterized. The transcript is spliced from 3 exons. The record is from RefSeq and is a predicted model, not a curated record. Lineage: Eukaryota; Metazoa; Mollusca; Bivalvia; Ostreida; Ostreidae.
UCACAAACCGUCACGUACUGCACUUGAACAAAGCAUAUGUGUCUGUUAGUGAACGCAAGAAUUUUAACCGUUGAAAUGAAUUGGCGGGCUUGAACAAAGCUUAUGUGUCCGGAUCUGUUUGUGAACGCAAGAUCGAAUUUUAAUCCUUGAAAUGAAUUGGCGGGAUGGAAAAGCCUUCUAUAUUAUGAGACUAUUGAUGUGGCAUUUUCUUCAUAUGGAAGGGACUGAUUAAUAUGUAUGGGAGAUAUGGAUUCUAGGAACAGAUGAACAACAGAAAAAGGAAUGAAUGAUUCAAAUGUGACCUUCCAUAACUCUACAAAUUAGAACUUGAAGACUCUUACAUCAAAUCGAUAUUUUGUACUGGACAAAGUGAUGUGGAAUAUACUUGAGAAACAUUGAACUUUCUACCUUUUCCUACUUUCAGUUACAUUCCACUUAGUAACAUUCCACGGGAUACUUUAAUGAAAGUGACAAAGAAUAUAUUGUGAUACAUUUUUAGGAGGAAAAAUUUAUUUUUGCCAAACUUGGUGAAAUUAAUUGUGUCGUAUAAUCUGGGAAAUAAAAAAGUUACAGAAUUUAA